GGAGUUAGCCGGUGCUUCUUCUGUGAGUGAUGUCCUUCCUGCCGGCUAUUAACCCGCAGGCCUUCUUCCUCACUGAAAGUGCUUUACAACCCGAAGGCCUUCUUCACACACGCGGCAUGGCUGGAUCAGGGUUGCCCCCAUUGUCCAAUAUUCCCCACUGCUGCCUCCCGUAGGAGUCUGGGCCGUGUCUCAGUCCCAGUGUGGCUGAUCAUCCUCUCAGACCAGCUACGGAUCGUCGCCUUGGUGAGCCGUUACCUCACCAACCAGCUAAUCCGACAUAGGCUCAUCCGAUAGCGCGAGGCCCGAAGGUCCCCCGCUUUCCCCCGUAGGGCGUAUGCCGGUAUUAGCCUGGGUUUCCCCAGGUUAUCCCCCACUACCGGGCAGAUUCCUAUGCAUUACUCACCCGUCCGCCGCUCGCCACCAGGGAGCAAGCUCCCCGUGCUGCCGCUCGACUUGCAUGUGUUAGGCCUCGCCGCCACGCGUUACAAUCUGAGACAGAACUACGAACCCUACGA
This 515-nucleotide ribosomal RNA is filed under the name uncultured bacterium. Its description in RNAcentral is "partial 16S ribosomal RNA". The record is from RNAcentral.